UUCGGUGGCCAUGGCGGCAGGGUUCCACCUGUUCCCAUUCCGAACACAGAAGUUAAGCCUGCCAGCGCCGAUGGUACUUGGGCCGUAGGGCCCCGGGAGAGUAGGUCGCCGCCGAAC
Molecule: ribosomal RNA, 117 nt
Filed under: Acidimicrobiia bacterium
Lineage: Bacteria; Bacillati; Actinomycetota; Acidimicrobiia
Source: RNAcentral